RNAcentral lists this ribosomal RNA (632 nucleotides) under Cryptolaria pectinata. RNAcentral's name for it is "partial 16S ribosomal RNA". It matches the Rfam family "Bacterial large subunit ribosomal RNA", at positions 1796 to 2610 of the family's 2925-position model. The record is from RNAcentral. Lineage: Eukaryota; Metazoa; Cnidaria; Hydrozoa; Leptothecata; Lafoeidae.
UCGACUGUUUACCAAAAACAUAGCCCUAGUAUAUAUCUAAGGUGUAACCUGCCCAGUGGUUUUAAACUAAAAAUAAUUAAAAGUUAUAUAAUAAAACUAAAAGGACGCGGUAACCUUGACCGUGAUAAUGUAGCAUAAUCACUCGCCAUUUAAUUGAUGGAUAGUAUGAAUGGUUAAACGAAUAUUCCCCUGUCUUAAAAAGAAACAUUUAAAAAUUAAAAUAAUAGUUAAGAUGCUAUUUAAGAUUGUAAGACGAAAAGACCCUAUAGAGCUUAACUAUAAUCUUUCUUUGAACAAAGAACAUCUAUUCUCACAUAGAAAGAUUGGUAGUUUAGUUGGGGCGACUAUCUUCUAAAAUUAACGAAGAAAAGCAAAGUUAAUAAAAAAAAACUUAUUGUAUAAUAUAUUUAUUUAACAAUUAUAAAAAUAGGCUAUAAUGACCCGUUAAAUUUUUAUAAAAAAAUUAACGAUCAAUAAAUAAAAGCUACCUUAGGGAUAACAGGAUAAUUUCAUUUUAGAGAUCGUAUCGAAAAUGAAGUUUGUCACCUCUAUGUUGAAUUAAGAUACCCCAACAAUGCAGAAGUUGUUAACGGUAGGUCUGUUCGACCUUUAAAAUCUUACAUGAUUUGAGU